Molecule: small nuclear RNA, 161 nt
Filed under: Nannospalax galili (Upper Galilee mountains blind mole rat)
Lineage: Eukaryota; Metazoa; Chordata; Mammalia; Rodentia; Spalacidae
Description: U1 spliceosomal RNA (ENSNGAG00000004027.1)
Rfam family: U1 spliceosomal RNA
About the family: U1 is a small nuclear RNA (snRNA) component of the spliceosome (involved in pre-mRNA splicing). Its 5' end forms complementary base pairs with the 5' splice junction, thus defining the 5' donor site of an intron.
Source: Rfam by way of RNAcentral
AUACUUACAUGGCAGAGGAGACACCAUGAUCAGGAAGGUGGUUUUCCCAGGGCGAGGCUCAGCCAUUGCACUUAGGAUGUGCUGACCCUUGAGAUUUCCCCAAAUGCAGGAAACUCAUCUGCAUAAUUUGUGGUAGUGGAACUGUGUUUGUGCUCUGUCUU